GCAUACUGCUGCAUUUCCCAGAACUUCACCCCUUUAAAUGGCCCUGAGAGCAGAGUUGGUGAUGAGGAUAGAGCAGAACAUCUGGCUCAGAGUCACCACUGGCAGCCCUUAGUGACCAGUGGAUUUUCACUUAUGGAAAUAGAUCCUCUUCAUUUCUGCCUGAGAAGACACAGUGAAUGGUAACAUGAUGACGUUUCACACAGACCAGGAACAGGGAACUUGAAAGUUUAGUCCGAUGUCACAAUGUCUGAGGAAAGAAAAAUAUGCCUUGAGGGUUCCACACCACUAAAUGUGGCCAUAAGGUAGUAUUGUGUCAACUUAACACAAGCUAUAGUCAUCAGAGGAAGGAGCCUCAGCUGAGAAAAUGCCUCCUGGAGACCCAGCUCUCCUGUCUCCUGGGUCCUGCCCUGUUUGAGUUCCUGUCCUGACUUCCUUCAGUGAUGAACAG
This 448-nucleotide long non-coding RNA is filed under the name Cricetulus griseus (Chinese hamster). RNAcentral's name for it is "lncRNA (ENSCGRG00015037977.1)". The record is from RNAcentral. Lineage: Eukaryota; Metazoa; Chordata; Mammalia; Rodentia; Cricetidae.